Ictidomys tridecemlineatus (thirteen-lined ground squirrel) is the source of this 3865-nucleotide long non-coding RNA. The record is from Ensembl. Lineage: Eukaryota; Metazoa; Chordata; Mammalia; Rodentia; Sciuridae.
AUGGAAAAGUAUUUACAGGACUUCUGCUUACCUUUCCUCAGAAUCACCAGCCUUCUUCAGCACCACCUUUUUGGGGAAGAUUUACCUAGUUGCCAGGAAGAAGAAGAAUUCUCAGUUCUUGCCAGUUGCCUGGGACUUCUGCCAGCAUUUUACCAAACAGAACAUCCGUUCAUCAGUGCCUCUUGUCUGGAAUGGCCAGUUCCACCAUUUGAUAUUAUAACUCAGUGGUGUUUUGAGAUAAAAUCAUUUACUGAAAGACAUGCAGAACAAGGAAAGGCUUUGCUUAUCCAAGAAUCAAAAUGGAAAUUACCGCACCUGUUACAGUUACCUGAGAAUUAUAACACCAUUUUUCAGUACUACCACAGAAAAACGUGUAGUGUCUGCACCAAGGUUCCUAAAGAUCCUGCUGUUUGCCUUGUUUGUGGUACUUUUGUAUGCCUAAAAGGACUUUGCUGCAAGCAACAAAGUUACUGUGAAUGUGUAUUGCAUUCUCAGAACUGUGGUGCUGGAACAGGCAUUUUCCUUUUGAUCAAUGCAUCAGUGAUCAUCAUUAUUCGAGGUCACCGCUUCUGCCUCUGGGGUUCCGUGUAUUUGGAUGCUCAUGGAGAAGAAGACCGGGAUCUUAGGCGCGGCAAACCUCUCUACAUUUGUAAGGAAAGAUACAAAGUUCUUGAGCAGCAAUGGAUUUCUCAUACUUUUGAUCACAUCAAUAAAAGAUGGGGUCCACAUUAUAAUGGGCUAUGACUCACCACCUCAGCAUUGCAUCAUUUUCAUUAAGAAUUUAUUUUAUCAACAAUAAGCUUUAACUUAAUUUGGGGAGAGUAAUGUUUUUGCUGAGGGGAAAAAAAGAAUACAUUAUGAAGCCUUUCCAAAAUUAGGUGCUUGGUAAUCACUUAAUGGAAUAGUAAUUUUUUUUUAAGUAUCUGGAGAACAUAAUAAAUAAAUCAUUCUUUAGUGGUCAUUUUUUUAAGUGCACAAUUAAUAAAAAGCACAACUUGUCCAUAAAAUCAUUCAGAAGUUAUUCUCCCAACAAUGCAUAUCAGCUAUUCAUUGAUACUUAGAAUGGGUGUGAUUUAUUUGAAAUUUUAUUGCUCCUUUCUAUCUGUGUUUUAAUUUGCAUCUGCUAAACAUAAUGCAUCUUUUUCCUCUGCCAUUCUUGUGUUAAUUUGAAAUUUUUGCUGUAUGUAACUAGAAAAAAUGUAAAACAUGAUUUAUGUGAAAUAUUGUAUAGUAAAAGUUAGUCUAAUAGUAGAAUCUUAAUUUUUUUUUCUUAUUGUGAGGAAUCGUUAAAAGUUUAAGGCUUUGCUGAAAACUUAAUUCAUUCUCAGGAAUUUCAUAAAUAUUCUCCCCAGGUAAAUGAAAUAGUUGUAAAAUAAGUAGAUAGCGCUGUUAAUAUAAAUACAGUACAUUUUGAAGAGCAUAUGUGUGAUUGAGGGGGGGGGGUCCUUAAUAAUUAAAAUUUGUGGACUGAAGGUGUAGCUCAGUGGUAAAGCGCUUGCCUAGCAUGUGUGAGGCACUGAGUUCUAUCCUGAGCACUGCAAAAGAAAAAAAGAGAAACCAAAAGAUUUAAGAAAAUCCACAUGACAAAUUUUGAUCCUGUGCAUGCCCACCUUUUAUUACCAACCAAGUUUUUGUUUAUAUGAUUGGAUUGGAAAUACUCUUACUUCCCAACUAAUAAACCGAACCGUAAGUUUUGGAACUUUCUUAUCAACUCAAGAGAUUCAGCUACAUUGUAUUCAUGCAGUGGAAUCACUGCUAUUUCUGCUUGGUUUACUAUAAGGAGAAAAAAAGGCUCAGUGGUGAUGAACCUCAUGAAUGAACAGUACAUGAAAAGCAAUUUUUGUUUGUAAGGGUUUUUAAAUCAGUAAAAAUGGGAUGAUUGAGCUACAACCUACUCUAUAAUAAGAAAAGUACAUGGAAAGCAUGUUAUACAUUGCUACUAAGAUUUUUUCCAGAUGACUCAGUAAUUUGAUGAUUAUUUCAUAUAUUAUGCUAUUGAGCAAUUCCUGGUACUUUGGAGUUUCAUGGCUUGUUAUAUAAAAUUACAAUUUUACAUGUAAAAAUAAAAUUUAAAACAUCUAAUGAUAAAACGUAAAAAUAACAUCAGAUUCAUGUUCUAAAAUUUUUUUGAAUGAUAUGGCAUUACUGAAUAUGAAAAUGAACAUUAAAUGAUGGCCUUGCAUUAUAAUAGGGAAAGCAGAGUAGUACAUAUUCAACUGUGUUCAGAACAUCAAUAAAUUACCUACAGCUCUACAAGAAAAUACAUGGAAAUAGCCUGCUAUUUUUAUAUACAUUUCCAAAAUAUUCAGACAACUUUCUGUAAGACUAGAAUGAUUCUGUUUCACUAAAUCACUAUCCUUUCCAACACAUUGCUACUUUUUUAAAUACUGUAUUAUAAGUUCAGCCUGUCAUAUUUUUGCAUUGGUCAUUAUGAAUACCAGACCAUUUGUAAGUGUGGUUGAAGAGCAAAAUACUAAUUCACAUCACUAGUAAAUACUGUUACAGGAUUCAUGAACUUGAAUAAUUCUACAGUUUGAAACUGAUGCUAUAUAUACCUGGUAUAAUGUAUUCAGACUUUGAUUACUACAUAUUUAAAAUGGAAUGUUUUAUGGUUGUGCAUAUGGAUGUGAAGUGAAAAUAUUAGCCUUAACUUUAAAAUUUGGGUAUUUGAUAGUGUUUAUUUUGAUAUUGGUGAAUUAGUCACCAGUAAAUUUAAAAAAAGCACUUGGUUGAAAAUUGUACUUGAAUACAUACAUGCAUGCUGCUAAACUAGAACUUUAAUUUUUUUCUCCAUAACUUUUAUAAGUCCCAUUUAUAAACCCACUUUUAAAAAUAACAGGUCCAAGUUAGAGUGAUGUGUGUAUAUUAUUAAAAAAAUGUACUGGUGUGAUAUCUUGUAUGAAUGAUCAUUUAAAUACAGUACAUUACUGUAGAAGCUAAAGCAGCCUUUAUAAUUAAGCAGAAAUUACAAAACUAGGAAUAACCAACAUUGUAAGAUAUGUUAAUAAAAACCUACUGUCAUUUGGUUUGUGAAAGGUCCUUAAAAUGUUUAAUGCUAAAUGUUUUUCUUUUUCCAAAGAUAUUGACAGUGAUAUAUGUGAGUGGCCUAAAAGAUCAAAGCAUAAUAUAACUAAUAGUUUCCUUAAGGUGGAGUUUAAUGUGAAGGGUUUGCCUCAUAUUUUGCCUUUUAUUUGCAGAGCUAGAUCCUGUUUCUUUUUUCCCGAUCUCAUAUCCAUUGUUAAAUCUUUGCUAAAUGUGUUGGGGUAGAGGAAGAGGGAAAUGGGUGUAUAGACCACUGCUAUGGUCCCUGCUAGACUUCAGACUUUAUGAUGACAUUUAUUUUGAGUAGGUUAUGAUCUUGUCUGAAUUGACAGUCCUCACCCUUCCACCACCCUGCUAAAACUCACCAGCUAGUCAUCAGCUGGGGGUCCAUUUAUAUUCUCAAGAGGUUUCAUUUGAUUUUAUGCAUUCUGGUACUCAUUGAUUUCUGUGACUUAUAGAAGAACUAAAAGCACUGAAAACAACAACAGUACAGAAUACUCUGUAUACCAUUUCCAGGACUGCAAUUGCAACUCUCAAAUUCCUGUUGUUGACUUGUGUUUGAGGUCACAUUGGGAAAAACAAAAUGAAGAAAAGCAUGGUUUUGACCACUAGAAUUAGAGGCAAGGAACAUUUACUGAUGGUUAUGCCAGAUAGUUAACGGUUGUGAGAGAGCUAGUGAUCUGUGACUAUUCCUCAGUCCCUCCCAUUCAUAGCACUUAGUCCUUUCCUCCAAGGCUUUGUGAUCUGGCUGAGUGAUAUCAAACACUGCUUACUUCAACAUGAAUGAGCUGAAAUGAAUAAAAUAAUGGCAGUAUAAUCACUU